UCCUACGGGGGGGCUGCAGUGGGGAAUAUUGCACAAUGGGCGAAAGCCUGAUGCAGCGACGCCGCGUGAGGGAUGACGGCCUUCGGGUUGUAAACCUCUUUCAGCAGGGAAGAAGCGCAAGUGACGGUACCUGCAGAAGAAGUGCCGGCUAACUACGUGCCAGCAGCCGCGGUAAUACGUAGGGCACAAGCGUUAUCCGGAAUUAUUGGGCGUAAAGAGCUCGUAGGCGGUUUGUCGCGUCUGCUAGAAAGCCCGGGGCUCAACCCCGGGUCUGCAGUGGGUACGGGCAGACUGGUAUGCAGUAGGGGAGACUGGAAUUCCAGGUGUAGCGGGGGAAUUUACAGAUAUCAGGAGGAACACCGAUGGCGAAGGCAAGUCUCUGGGCUGUAACUACGCUGAGGAGCGAAGAAACCUC
RNAcentral lists this ribosomal RNA (415 nucleotides) under Arthrobacter saudimassiliensis. Its description in RNAcentral is "bacterial SSU rRNA". It matches the Rfam family "Bacterial small subunit ribosomal RNA", at positions 337 to 763 of the family's 1533-position model. The record is from RNAcentral. Lineage: Bacteria; Bacillati; Actinomycetota; Actinomycetes; Micrococcales; Micrococcaceae.